GACGAACGCUGGCGGCGUGCCUAAUACAUGCAAGUCGAACGCACAACAUUAGAAAGCUUGCUUUCUGAUUUAGUGAGUGGCGGACGGGUGGGUAACACGCGGGUAACCUGCCCAUUAGAGGGGGAUAACACUUGGAAACAGGUGCUAAUACCGCAUAAUUAUUUUAGCCGCAUGGCUGAGAUAUGAAAGACGCUUUCGGGUGUCACUGAUGGAUGGACCCGCGCUGCAUUAGUUAGUUGGUGAGGUAAAGGCUCACCAAGACCGUGAUGCAUAGCCGACCUGAGAGGGUGAUCGGCCACACUGGGACUGAGACACGGCCCAGACUCCUACGGGAGGCAGCAGUAGGGAAUCUUCGGCAAUGGACGAAAGUCUGACCGAGCAACGCCGCGUGAGUGAAGAAGGUUUUCGGAUCGUAAAACUCUGUUGUUAGAGAAGAACAAGUGGGAGAGUAACUGUUCCCGCCUUGACGGUAUCUAACCAGAAAGCCACGGCUAACUACGUGCC
Molecule: ribosomal RNA, 504 nt
Filed under: uncultured Vagococcus sp.
Lineage: Bacteria; Bacillati; Bacillota; Bacilli; Lactobacillales; Enterococcaceae
Description: bacterial SSU rRNA
Rfam family: Bacterial small subunit ribosomal RNA
Source: RNAcentral